Molecule: ribosomal RNA, 518 nt
Filed under: uncultured delta proteobacterium
Lineage: Bacteria; Deltaproteobacteria
Description: bacterial SSU rRNA
Rfam family: Bacterial small subunit ribosomal RNA
Source: RNAcentral
AACGAACGCUGGCGGCGUGCCUAACAAUGCAAGUCGUGCGAGAAAGUCUCUUCGGAGAUGAGUAGAGCGGCGCACGGGUGAGUAACACGUGGGUAACCUGCCCUCGAGUCUGGGAUAACCCGGGGAAACCCGGGCUAAUACCGGAUACGGCCGCGAGGUCUUCGGAUCUUGCGGAGAAAGACGGCGCUUCUUCGGAAGCUUUCACUCGAGGAUGGGCCUGCGUCCCAUUAGCUAGUUGGUGAGGUAACGGCCCACCAAGGCAAAGAUGGGUAGCUGGUCUGAGAGGAUGGCCAGCCACACUGGAACUGAGACACGGUCCAGACUCCUACGGGAGGCAGCAGUGGGGAAUUUUGGGCAAUGGGCGAAAGCCUGACCCAGCAACGCCGCGUGUGGGAUGAAGGCCCUCGGGUCGUAAACCACUGUCAGGAGGAAAGAAUGGCCGGCCGGAUAAUACUCGGUCGGUUUGACGGUACCUCCAAAGGAAGCGCCGGCUAACUCCGUGCCAGCAGCCGCGGUAA